AAAUUUUUAAUUUAAAAAAAAUUUUUCAUUUACACUGAAAAUUUAAUAUAAAUAUAUUAAAAUUUU
Molecule: transfer RNA, 66 nt
Filed under: Aegilips sp. ZJUH 20220002
Lineage: Eukaryota; Metazoa; Arthropoda; Insecta; Hymenoptera; Figitidae
Description: tRNA-Val
Source: RNAcentral